This 326-nucleotide long non-coding RNA is filed under the name Lathyrus oleraceus (garden pea). RNAcentral's name for it is "Pisum sativum (pea) long non-coding RNA (PSAT_LNC039901)". The record is from RNAcentral. Lineage: Eukaryota; Viridiplantae; Streptophyta; Magnoliopsida; Fabales; Fabaceae.
AUCAUUGAAAAAUCAAUUGAAAAUUGUGGAAUAAAUGAAUCCUAAUUUCUUUCGUGUCAAUUGAAACCUUAAAUCGAGUUGUUGAAAAUUUUGCCUUUUGCUUAUGUCUAAGUAGGGAGCAUUAUUGAAUAAAUUUGGUUUUGGAAUCUAAAGUUGGGGAGAUUAAAGUGAAAAGUUGAUUAGAAACUUGGAAAAGUGAGUUUUUAUGAAAGGGUGAAAAUUUGAAAAGAAACAAGAAAAAGAAAAUACCCUUGAAACCAUAGAGCAUAGAAAAAAGAUUAGAAAAAGAAGAGCAAAGAAAAUGCUCAUGGUUGUGUGGAGUUGAA